AUUGAACGUUGGCGGCAGGCCUAACACAUGCAUGUCGAGCGGAUGAAGGGAGCUUGCUCCUGGAUUCAGCGGCGGACGGGUGAGUAAUGCCUAGGAAUCUGCCUGGUAGUGGGGGAUAACGUCCGGAAACGGGCGCUAAUACCGCAUACGUCCUGAGGGAGAAAGUGGGGGAUCUUCGGACCUCACGCUAUCAGAUGAGCCUAGGUCGGAUUAGCUAGUUGGUGGGGUAAAGGCCUACCAAGGCGACGAUCCGUAACUGGUCUGAGAGGAUGAUCAGUCACACUGGAACUGAGACACGGUCCAGACUCCUACGGGAGGCAGCAGUGGGGAAUAUUGGACAAUGGGCGAAAGCCUGAUCCAGCCAUGCCGCGUGUGUGAAGAAGGUCUUCGGAUUGUAAAGCACUUUAAGUUGGGAGGAAGGGCAGUAAGUUAAUACCUUGCUGUUUUGACGUUACCAACAGAAUAAGCACCGGCUAACUUCGU
RNAcentral lists this ribosomal RNA (483 nucleotides) under uncultured bacterium. RNAcentral's name for it is "partial 16S ribosomal RNA". It matches the Rfam family "Bacterial small subunit ribosomal RNA", at positions 30 to 506 of the family's 1533-position model. The record is from RNAcentral.